AGUCGAACGCAGUAGCAAUACUGAGUGGCAGACGGGUGAGUAACAUGUGGGAAUCUGCCUUGUGGUUCAGGACAACAUUGGGAAACCGAUGCUAAUACUGGAUAAGCCCUUACGGGGAAAGUUUUAAUGCCAUAAGAUGAGCCCGCAUUUGAUUAGUUAGUUGGUGAGGUAAUGGCUCACCAAGACAAUGAUCAAUAGCUGAUCUGAGAGGAUGAUCAGCCACACUGGGACUGAGACACGGCCCAGACUCCUACGGGAGGCAGCAGUGGGGAAUCUUGCACAAUGGAGGAAACUCUGAUGCAGCGAUGCCGCGUGAGUGAAGAAGGCCUUUGGGUUGUAAAGCUCUUUUGUAGGGGAAGAUAAUGACUGUACCCUAAGAAUAAGGUCCGGCUAACUUCGUGCCAGCAGCCGCGGUAAUACGAAGGGACCUAGCGUAGUUCGGAAUUACUGGGCGUAAAGCGCGCGUAGGCCGUUGAGUUAGUUAAUUGUGAAAUCCCAAAGCUUAACUUUGGAACUGCAAUUAAAACUGCUCGACUAGAGUUUGAUAGAGGAAAGCGGAAUACAUAGUGUAGAGGUGAAAUUCGUAGAUAUUAUGUAGAACACCAGUUGCGAAGGCGGCUUUCUGGAUCAACACUGACGCUGAGGCGCGAAAGUAUGGGUAGCAAAGAGGAUUAGAUACCCUCGUAGUCCAUACCAUAAACGAUGAUUGCUAGAUGUUGGAAAUUUAUUUUCAGUAUCGCAGCUAACGCAUUAAGCAAUCCGCCUGGGGAGUACGACCGCAAGGUUAAAACUCAAAUGAAUUGACGGGGACCCGCACAAGCGGUGGAGCAUGUGGUUUAAUUCGAAGAUACGCGCAGAACCUUACCAACCCUUGACAUGUCUGUCGCGAGUUUA
Molecule: ribosomal RNA, 894 nt
Filed under: uncultured organism
Description: bacterial SSU rRNA
Rfam family: Bacterial small subunit ribosomal RNA
Source: RNAcentral